This is a long non-coding RNA of Apodemus sylvaticus (European woodmouse), 1201 nucleotides long. RefSeq lists it as uncharacterized. The record is from RefSeq and is a predicted model, not a curated record. NCBI's taxonomy places the organism in Eukaryota, Metazoa, Chordata, Mammalia, Rodentia, Muridae. The transcript is spliced from 3 exons.
CUGGCAGACAGUGAAGAAAAGAGGAAGUAAUUCCCAGAAGGCUGGAGGAUGGAUUUAGAUCUCUGUUUCGUAAACAGAGAGGGGGAAUAAAAUUGAGCAAACUCUUCAGACAGACAGGGCCCUCCCUCUUGUGGAAGCUGUGCCUCCGAACAACAACAACAACAACAAAAAAGCAGAGCUAGAAGGGAAAAGCAAAAGCCGUCGUCGCUGAUUGUCGUAAAGGUGAGGAAGCUGACCUUAGAGGCCCAGUAACAAAAAGUGAUAGAGUUGGACAUUUCUCCAAGCAAAGGCGAAUGAUUCCUCUAUGUUUGGUUUACUCUUCCAUCCAUAUGCGUUAAGCCCUGAGCCGCAUUGCAGAAGAACCUUCCUGGCUGUGGCAGCUCUGCCCUGCUCUGUCCUCUCAGUGAGAAGAGCAGGGGUGAGGGAGAGGACGGGAGACUCUCCAGGGACACAGACAGACCGAUCGCCAGUGUGGGAAGGCUGUCUAACCUGUGGUGCUCUAAGCCAUUACCUCACCUCCUCAUUCAUGGUGAGAAUGCUUGAUUGCAGAAGUCAAGGUCAACACCGAAGUACACUUCCUCUAGAGAAGCAUUUCUUUGUGCCAUUCAAAGUCACCCAUUAAACCCUUUGGCAACCAAAGUAUUGGAGCCUUUCCUAAGGCUGCUGGAAAGUUCCUUAGAAUCAUAGAUGGGAUUCUGUGGAGUGCCUGGCUCUGGUCAGGAAGUCUAAGGCAAGUAACCUAGUCAGGGGUUGCAAACGCCUGAGGCCAGGGGCUGACAUACUGACUCUAACUCAAGAGACUCAACACCCACAACAGUGUGAGUCUCUGCAGACAUCUGUCCUCACCAUUUCUGUUCCAGUGUUGGCAUUUUCAGUUGUAUGCAACAAAUGCAGGGGUGUUUGAAAUUCAGAAAGGCUCCGUGGCAGCACUGGUGACAGGCAAGACAGAAAAGGGACACAAGUUGACCUGGUCCAUGAGUCUCAAGUAAAGCCAAGAGAGGGCACUGCAGGCAGAGGGGCCAACUGUGCAUGGCACAGGGAUGAUGUGCAAUUCUCUCAAAUGAAGUAGAACUGCUUAUGCUGUCGUCAGUCAUAAUGACUUUUGGGAAAGAUAACCACAUCGGCCUGUGCACGGUCUCCAUACAAGGUCUCAGGCAUGUCCAUUCUUAUAAAAGUGUGAGCAGACACAUAGAUCUGAGUG